CCAGACUCCUACGGGAGGCAGCAGUGAGGAAUAUUGGUCAAUGGGCGAGAGCCUGAACCAGCCAAGUCGCGUGAGGGAGUACUGCCCUAUGGGUUGUAAACCUCUUUUGUCGGGGAGCAAAAGCCGGACGUGUCCGGCUGUGAGAGUACCCGAAGAAAAAGCACCGGCUAACUCCGUGCCAGCAGCCGCGGUAAUACGGGGGGUGCAAGCGUUGUCCGGAAUCAUUGGGCGUAAAGAGUUCGUAGGCGGCACGUAAAGUCUGGUGUUAAAGGCAGAGGCUCAACUUCUGUACGGCACUGGAUACUUGCGAGCUAGAAUGCGGUAGAGGUAAAGGGAAUUCCUGGUGUAGCGGUGAAAUGCUUAGAUAUCAGGAGGAACAUCGGUGGCGUAAGCGCUUUACUGGGCCGUAAUUGACGCUGAGGAACGAAAGCCAGGGUAGCAAAUGGGAUUAGAUACCCGUGUA
This 463-nucleotide ribosomal RNA is filed under the name uncultured bacterium. RNAcentral's name for it is "bacterial SSU rRNA". It matches the Rfam family "Bacterial small subunit ribosomal RNA", at positions 331 to 792 of the family's 1533-position model. The record is from RNAcentral.